UGGAGAGUUUGAUCCUGGCUCAGAGUGAACGCUGGCGGCGUGCCUAAUACAUGCAAGUCGAACGGACAAGUAAGAGCUUGCUCUUAUGAGUUAGUGGCGCACGGGUGAGUAAUGUAUAGCUAAUCUGCCCUACACUAGAGGACAACAGUUGGAAACGGCUGCUAAUACUCUAUACUCCUGUCUUACAUAAGUUAGAUAGGGAAAGUUUUUCGGUGUAGGAUGAGGCUAUAUUGUAUCAGCUAGUUGGUGAGGUAAUGGCUCACCAAGGCUAUGACGCAUAACUGGUCUGAGAGGAUGAUCAGUCACACUGGAACUGAGACACGGUCCAGACUCCUACGGGAGGCAGCAGUAGGGAAUAUUGCUCAAUGGGGGAAACCCUGAAGCAGCAACGCCGCGUGGAGGAUGACACUUUUCGGAGCGUAAACUCCUUUUGUUAGGGAAGAAUAAUGACGGUACCUAACGAAUAAGCACCGGCUAACUCCGUGCCAGCAGCCGCGGUA
Molecule: ribosomal RNA, 500 nt
Filed under: Campylobacter curvus
Lineage: Bacteria; Pseudomonadati; Campylobacterota; Epsilonproteobacteria; Campylobacterales; Campylobacteraceae
Description: bacterial SSU rRNA
Rfam family: Bacterial small subunit ribosomal RNA
Source: RNAcentral